Molecule: ribosomal RNA, 253 nt
Filed under: uncultured bacterium
Lineage: Bacteria
Description: partial 16S ribosomal RNA
Rfam family: Bacterial small subunit ribosomal RNA
Source: RNAcentral
UACGUAGGGGGCAAGCGUUGUCCGGAUUUAUUGGGCGUAAAGCGCUCGCAGGUGGUCCGUUGCGUCGUGCGUGAAAGACCCCGGCUCAACUGGGGAGUGUCGUGCGAUACGGGCAGACUGGAGGUAUGCAGGGGAGAGCGGAAUUCCUGGUGUAGCGGUGAAAUGCGCAGAUAUCAGGAGGAACACCGGUGGCGAAGGCGGUUCUCUGGGCAUGUCCUGACGCUGAGGAGCGAAAGUGUGGGGAGCGAACAGG